Long non-coding RNA from Peromyscus californicus insignis, 13945 nucleotides. RefSeq lists it as uncharacterized. The transcript has 3 exons. Lineage: Eukaryota; Metazoa; Chordata; Mammalia; Rodentia; Cricetidae. The record is from RefSeq and is a predicted model, not a curated record.
AAAAAGAGCCGGGCGGUGGUGGCGCACGCCUUUAAUCCCAGCACUCAGGAGGCAGAGGCAGGUGGAUCUCUGUGAGUUCGAGGCCAGCCUGGUCUAUAGAGCGAGUUCCAGGAAAGGCGCAAAGAUAUACAAAGAAACCCUGUCUCGAAAAGAAUAAAAUAAAAAUAAGGGGCUGAAGAGAUGGCUCAGUAGUUAAAGAGUACUGGCUGCUCUUCCAAAGGUUCUGAGUUCAAUUCCCAGCAACCACAUGGUGGCUCACAACCAUCUGAUGCCCUCUUUUGGCCUUCAAACGUACAUGCAGAUAGAGCACUAAAAAACACCCUGGCUUUAGUCCACAGGGCAGUACAGCAAGCAGGCUAUGGACAGAGUAAGGUAAGAGGAGAGGGUGCAGGUGCACCAGGAACCCCAAGGCUGGUAGACAGGAGUGAGCUUUGAAUCCUCUGCACCACAGAGCUUCACAGCUGUUACAGUCUCCUAGCAAAACAGCUGCUGGCUUCAUGAGCGUCUCAGACCCCGUGAGCAUGCUCACCGCUGACACACAGCUCAGGAGGCUACAGGAAGGUCACUGAACCCUCAUCUGAGACACCAGACCCUCCUCUCAACUUUGUAUGCAACUCUGCCCUAAAUGACGGAGGGCUUGAGUCUCUGGAGAGGACAGAGUUCACAGGCUGGGGAAGCUGCUUUGGGAUCACACACUUGGUCCUCCUCUAAUUUGUUACUGGGACCUUCCUCUGUGAGGAAGGAGUAGAUACUGUUCCCACAUCCCCAGGACAGGAGUUCUCGCAGCACACAGGACAGGUGCUUGGCAGGCAGCUGCAGGAUGAUGUCAGUGCCCAGACAGGAGCUUGGGAGGAUCCUGCAUGCCAGCCAGUAGGGGCUGAUGGCCACAGCACUCACAUCUGCCACAUAUCUAACACAAACCUCCAAGUCACUCCGGCAAGAAACCUAGCUCUGGGCUGGCGGACUCUGCAUCUGGAGUGGUGAUGGGAAGAAGCUGUUCCUAUCCAUGUGCCCUGGCCUCAAGGCCUGGUUUGAACCCACUGUCCCCACUUCAAAGGAGAGUGAGGGGCCGGCCUGGUCCAGGUAGUCAGCUGCACAGUGCUCUCGAGUCUUCUUGUAGCCUUUGCCGUUCAUCCACGGCAGACAUGUCCUCUCUGGGAUUCCCUCAAACCUCCAGCACUUCAUCCAUGCUGCUACUGGCUCUGCACAGCCAGCUUCACCAAUGUGUCAGCUGUGACCACAAGGAAGUGAGCCACCCUGUAUCCUCCUCUGGAGUUGUGGCAUCUGGAACAAAAUACCCUAGAGGACAAACACCUGGGAAGAGCUUUGGGGCCUGGGUCCUCCAUAGCAUGGCAAAGACAGGAAGAAGGAAGGAGGCAGGAGCCCACACUUCCUUCCUCCCUCCUGAUGGCGCUUCAUUUGCCAGGCGGCCACUGCAGCUGGACAGCCACUGAAGGGCUCAGCACCUUGUCAGCAAGUCAACACCCUAUGCGACCACCUUCUUAUCCUUGAACGCCAUUGGCAAGCAUCCCUCCAGCACCCUGGGCCCAGCACCAGUCACUUUCAUCCAGUGCGGACGGCAACAACUGCCAGCAGUCGGCUGUCGUGUGAACAAACCUGCACUGGGCAGAGGCGACCCCUUGCAGUAAAAAUCGUCACUUGUCAGUGCUGGUCCCGUGAUCUCCGUGGUGGAGAAUGAGGAGGCCUCAGCCUGUGUCUCAGGCUUCCAAGCCCCGCACAGGGAGAGUGGCACCUGGAAACAUCUUUCUGUGACUUCUCUGGAAGUUCCCAGCUGUCCUCAUAGAGGUAUUGGCAGGGGCACUGCUUGGGUAAUGCACUCUCCAUGCCAUCUAAUUUUCUAGAAUGAUUUCGCCUUGUGCUCCAUGUGAAAACCUUCCACUAGACCCCAAUCCCCACCUUCCAGGUGUGAUUUAAAUCCAAUGAUGAAUUUUCACAUAUUGGUUGGCUUUCAAUUCUAUUCUUUUUUUUCCCUAAGGACAUAGGAGGAGCACAAGACCUGUGGCCAACACGUGGAGCACCUGUCGCUCCCACUCGUGGCUAACGUCACUGCACUGGUGUGGCCGACUACUGAGGGUCCAGGAGGCCUUGGCCACAGGAGUACCAACGGCAGCAAAGACUGGCCUUUGGGGUGAGUGCACACCGUGCCCAGUGGCUCAGCUCCUGGACAGGAUAUGCUGAGAAGGAUGCACCACAUGUCACCUCUUCCAUCCUGCUGUCCCUACAGCUUAGAAAAAGCCCACCCACUCUGAGUCUGGCCAAACCCCAGAGAGCUCACAAAGGGAAGAAAGGGAAGCGACAUGGAGUCCACCAGCCUAGCGAACACAAGAAAGUGGCCUGUGUGGCCUAACACAGACAUGGCGAACUGAAAGUGAGGAAGGCUGGCGGGGAAAGCCCCUGCAACCUAGCUGGAAGGAAACCCGAGGCCUCUGGAACACACGGUGUGGGGGCGGCUGCCUAGGAUUGGUAGUGGGAGUGUGGGUAUGUCCAAGGCUACCUCAGUCACCUGGAUCCUGGGUGAGUCUGAAACAGGGACGGGUAAAUGAGAGCUGUGUUCAAGUGCUUGAGGACAGUGACCCACUGCAAGCUCCAAGGCAGCAUCAGUUCCUGUCACUGCAAUCACACCCAAGACCACACGACAAAACACUGAGGGCAUCUGGAAGCACAAACCGUGCAUGCAAAGGCAGUUGCUAGCCUUCAGGUGGCCAACCAUGAUAUGCUUGAUGCAAUGCUGUGGCUGGCAAUCCCAGCGGCCUGCGGCAGACUCUGAGGGAAGGCAAGCUGAGAAGCUGUAGGUGCCAGGCUAACUAGGGAAGCCAGAACCAAGCAAGUGCACAGACGCUACAUGCAAGGGGACAUUGCCAUAGCAGUCACUUGAGCCUUGGACCACGAAAUGACAAGUAGGUAGAGCUUGCCACCCUAGAAUACGGAAGGAGACACUGUGGUGGCCAGUGCCAGGCAGUGGGAAGGGUGCACCCUGACAUUGGAGGCACCCAACACUGACAGAGUUCCAAGCAGCCACGGCACCGAAAAGGAGGGCAGGACACCUCACAUCUGGCUGGCAGGCAGCUGUCCCCAUGGUGUGUCUCCAUCAACUAACUCACUGCCAUGCAGGGCUCAUGGCACUUAGUGGGCGUGGCAGGUGGAGAUGGGGAGGAUCACCACCCAAAGCACGGGACCAGAGAGCCACCAACCCCCAGCUCCACCACAUGUGGUCAACACCACGAGAAGAAAUGGGGUCAGGUCCCUGUCCCAAUCAGACUUGACCAGGGCAGAUGGCAUCACCCAGCAGAGCCAGAGUGUCAACACCUCUCUCCCUCUCUGCCAUGGCCUCUGCAGGGCAGAUCUUUGGGAUGACCAGGUCUCCCCUAACAUGCUGGUUCUCUAUCAGGAGUGAUCCUGGACCUUAAGGGAUUAGUUCUUCUGGUGACAGAUGGUGAGUGGGUGUGGCUGAUGUUCUGGGAGGAGAGGCCACAGAAGUCACCACCAAUCAUCCUACACUAGCCCCAGUGACAGCCCCAUCCUGUCCCCGUGUAGCAGAGAGAACAUGAGCAUCUAGAUUUGCGGCCAGCAGGACCCACUCCACGGGGUCACUCAGAAUGGUUCUGUCCCACAACCCCACCACUGGCUCCUCUUCUUGCCUAGCAUCCAGAUGCAGGAAAUAAGAUACGAUGGGAGCCUGCUGGCUGGGCCCAGGCAAAACGCCCUGGGGUGCAGACAGUACACACACCCAGACACCGAGGCGCCACCCUGGUUCUCAAGCUUUUCAGCAGUAGGACCCAGUGCCAUGCUAGUGCAUGACUCCAGGCUGUAAUUACCUGUAAGGACUAAAAUGCAUCUAGAAGGUGCUAAGAGGUGACCAACUUUUCUAGUGCUGGCAGUGAACCCAGGGCCUUUGCAUCCGCUAAUCAAGUGCUCACCAGUGUGAGUUUGUGUACGUGUAUACACUCUUUAAAAGCAGUUAAGUAUUUGAGUCCGCUGGCACAGGCCUGUUGUCCCAGCCACCUGGCAGGAGCUGGGUGAGGUCAUUAUAAGGUUGCAGCUCUGCAGUGGUCCUGGGACCCUGGAAGCGGUGAGGCCUGUUGGCUGCUGCCCUCUGAGCGCUGGCAAAACAAGACAGAUGGUACCCUGCAGUCACCACAGACCCUCAGAAAGUUAAGGGAGCACACAACCAGGCCAGAGAGGCCAGGCCCACGUGGAGGGAGAAGCGCAGCAGACACUGAGGUGCCCACAAGUCCUCAGUCUCUGGGGAAGGGAUGGCAGCUGUCCCCCAGCCCCAGCAAACCCUGAAUGUGCAAGCUGGCCCAGACCAGUUCCUCAUUUUCAAAACAAAUCAGAAACCUGAAGCUAGCCCUGAAAUUGCAGAAUCUCAGGCUGCUUCCUAAUUAAAAAGACGCACAGAAGCCCCGAUGGGAGUGAGCGGCCCCUCCACUGGACCCUGGGGAAGGUGACAACUACCGUCUGUGGAGCUCCACUCUGCCUUCCUGGAGAUUUUUAAGCUCUCUGGGUGCUCUGGGCACAUAGGAGUGUGGGGUGCCUCUCUCUACUGCACUGAGGGCAACCCCAGGAGGAGCCUAUGCAGAGGAAGCAGAGACCAAUGCCCUUAGGACAGGCGGAGGAGCCCGUGCCACUGUAACCAACCUGGAGUGGCGGCCAGUGGCUGGCAAGUAAGCACCCUGGAGAGCUACCCGUCUCCCCACACAGGCAGGCCCUGUGCCUGAACCCGCCAAUCUGGAAAUCACUGUACCUUCCCUGCCCUUCCCUUCCCGUCCACUCUAAACAUUCUCUUUUUUCCUUUUUGAAUUUGAAACAGGCUCGUGCUAAGUUGCCCAGGCUAGGCUUGAAAUUACUAAGCAUGUAGCCCAGGCUGGUCUGAACUUGACUAAGAUGCUCCUGCCUCAGCCUCCCAAGAGCUGGGAUAACAGGCCUGGGCCACUGGGCCCAGCUUCUCCAAGCUCACCUGCCUCCACUCACUCCAACUCAGUCCCACUGAACAGAGGAGGUUCAACUGGCUCCUGCCACCCCGCCACUGUCUUCAGAGGUUAACGGUUCUGCAGCCCGAUCAUCACAAAGCCUCUCUGCCACCUCCCCACCUCUGCUAGAGCGGCAAGAGUCAAGGCCAGGCACAUGGUCCCAAGACACACCCAGGACAGGACACCUGUCAUCCUUCUAAGCCAGCACACAGCCCUGUGUUCUUCCUUUGACCUAAGGGUCAGAUGUAAGACAUGAGAGGAGUAAGAGAGGCCAGACUCCAGGCCCAACUCUGAGGCCACCGCUGACACCUGAGCUGCAGGCACCUGCAAUGCCUGAGGCAGCACCCUCCACAACCAAGGAGCCUACCCCAGCUGUCCACGAUGCCCAGGUUGAGAAGCCCUGGGCUACAGGUCAUGCAGACAGGAUACAGGGGACAGAGGUGUGCCUCCUGGGCUGCCAUGAGCCACUUAGCCAGGGUCAUCUCAGGGAGGACUCACUCUACUUCCUCCCUUCCAUCCACCCAUGUGACACUGUGAAUGGACCUAAGACCACCAAGCCACACCCAGUGCUUUUCCUUCUUUCCUCCCCCUUUCUCCUCUCCCAUCCCCCAAUGCACCUCGGAGCUGCUGCCCAUGUCUGAAAUGGUGGUUCAGGGUUGGAACACCAGCUGCCAGUGAGCACUCACUACCACAGGCUCACAGCGCCAUGAGACAGGGCCAUAAUCUGCAUUCCCAUUUUGCUAGUGGGGAAACUGAGGCCUCAGUUCAGGGCAAAGUAAAAGCAUUAGCCUGGUUUACUCUAGGGUAGAGCCUAUGCCCGCCAUCCUGACACCUGUGGGACUGACCUGGGAGAUAACCCUGAAGCUACCCCAACCCAUAGGGUGGGGCUAUGUAUGGAAGUAUUUUAGGAAGUCACCACCCUGGGGCAGGAGACUAAAGACGGGGUGUGCUACUAGCAUUCAGUAGGUGCAUUUGGCCACACUAGUGCAUUUAGUGCCAAACCUAAAAUGCACGGGACAGCCCUGUCCAGUCCAAGGUGGCUCCUGGUUCCCACCAUGCAUACACACAGCCCCACCAGGAACUGAACAGCUAGAAGCCACUGUUGGUCCUGCUGGGUGCCACUCUUCUGUGCUAUCUCCCUUCCCACACCACAAUCAAACUGUCUUCACCCUACUUCUGUCCAGUGUUGAGGGACUACUGAAACAGGAUGCAGAGUGUGGGAAAGCCUUGUUCCAGCCUCUGUCUGUCUCUCUCCCAGGAGAGAAGCAGUGCAAGAGGACUUCUCAAAGCCAUGAACUACAGAAGUUCCAUAGAAGGACUGUGAGAGCUGCUGGUCCUUCUAUGAGAUUACCAUGGCAACAACAGCCUGCAGGAUGCAGCACUGGACUACAACUGAGGAUGCUUCCUUACAUGCAAGCAGAUACACCUCACCUGAGCUGCACAGAGCAAGGCUCUGCAACCUGGUCUGCCCUUGGCAAUGCAGGGAUCCAGGGGUCCAGAGAUCUGGGGUUAUGGGGCUACCCAAGCACCAUACUGGUUGGAAAUCAAACAUCUAUGGACUGAAGAGUGCUGGGGCCACUACCUCAGAAUGCCUGAGAUGAGAUGGCUCAGGGCAGAGAGAUGAAAUGGAUGGAGGGGGGCCUGGGAGGAAAGAAGGACUAAGGAUCUGGGCCUGGAAAGGCAGGAGCCACAGCCCUGCAGCACUCAUGACUACGGUGUAGGUACUCCAUAGCUUCAAAACACCCAGGCAAACAGCCAACGCUAAGGGGCUGAGUGCUGGCCUAGUGUGCACACCCCUGGGCUCCAUCCCCAGCAUCAUGUCAGCCACACUUGUCAUCCCAGCACUGGGAAAGUGGAGGCAGAAGGGUCAGCUGUUCAAGGUCAUCCUCAGCUACACAGCAACUUCAAGGCCAGCCUGGACUAUAUGACACUGUUUCAAAACAAAAACCAACACCAUACACCUACUUUACAAAGGUGACAAAACAUCAAACGCCGUGCUGGGAACAUGACCAAGAGAAGGAGUGUUCCGGAAACACAUAGUAACUGAUUCAGAAACGACAGAUCUAAGGCACAAAAAUUUCACAUCCUGAACCUGACUUCGACGGGGCUCUUGUCUGGGGACAAAACAGCAGGUGGGCACAGCCCUUCCUAGGUACAAACAUUCCAUUUCAGUUUUACAACACAUCGGACAGUGUGUACGGGAGCCACAAGAAAACACAGCCCCAGAGGACAGCAAAUCCAAACUGCUCCAAGGCCCCUCUCAGCGAGGACCCUCACCAAUAAACUCCCUCCCUGCUCCUUUCUCAUGGAAGAGGAAGCUCUUGGAUGGCUUCUGUACCAAGCACUGCUCUAGAAGCAAGGGGCCCACUAGUGAUGGAGAAGGAAAGGUCCUGCACUGGCAGUGCUCAGCUCCAGCAGAGCGUGACCUAGACUGCUGACUGACAGCUGCGGUGGGAACACAGGGCAGAGGGGACAGGAAAGGUGGCCACCAAGGAAAACAGGUGGCCAGGGAAUUCCUCAAGAGCACAGUAGCAUGAAGAAAAGCAGACCAUCAGGAUGGGCUGGGGGGCAGGUGGUACUCCAGACAGGAAAUCCAGGCUCGAGGAAGGCCGGAGCACAGUGGGUCAGGGAGGGAGAGCCUGUGUAGGAGGGUCACUCUAGCUUCUGGUUCAGGCGCAGCAGAAGAGGUAGAGGGAAAGACAUCCCAUGCAAAGUGUUGGUGGCUCUGGGCUAAGAGGGAGGUUCCCACUGACAAUCACGGAAGGCAGGUUGAGAGACGACCAGUUUUCUGGGAGGGGACUCUGGUGCAGACAGGACAUUACCAACCCCAAAGGAGAUCUCAGUGACACUAGCCCCAUGCAGUACUGCACACCUGUCACCCCAGCAUUUGGGAGGUGGAGGCAUGAGGACCAGGACUUCAUGGCUGGCUUCAGCCAUAAAGUGAGUUUGAGGACAGCCUGGGCUAUAUGAGACUGUCUCAAAAACACAAAAACAAAACAAAAUACACCAAACAUAAAACCCUAACAAGUUUUAAAAGAAAGUAUGGGUUUAAAACACAUCCACAGAGUAUGCCACACCAAUCUCUUGUUCUCUGGUCCCCCUACUGCCUCCACCCACAAGGUUCCUUAGCCCAGGCCACCCUGGUUCACACAGGCCUGCCUCCUGAUGUGACUCAGGCGACUUACCUACACCUACCUUUCAAGGCUUGGAUGGAGACUGAGAAGUGCAGGUGUAAACACUAUCUCCAUUCUCCGGGCACCAUCCCAACGCCCUCCCCUACCAGGGCCAAGUGGGCUCUCGGAAGAACCCCACAUCCCUGGGUUUUCUACAGAAGCCUCAGGCCACAUGUCACAGGCAGGAAGGAAUAUUGCAUGGUGGAGAACCAGGUCCCUGCUGCUAUUAGCCUGCCUGCAGUAGUGCAGGGAGAAAGGACAGGGCUAAAAAUAGACCUCUGAAGUCCCAAAACUACAACCCAGGAGCAGCCCCCAAGGGAGAACAUCAGAGGGCAUCAGGCUGCAGGGGGACUGACUAUGAGUCUAGAGAAGUGUGACAUGGUCCAGAGUGCUCAGAUGGGGUUCAGGGCCCCACCGGGGAGGACUCACAGGGCAAAGAAAGGGGGUGUGCAGAAGCAAUUAGGACCUGCACAUCAGGUGGCCAAGCCUAAAAUAGGGGAUGUGAGCUGCACCCCAAAGGACGUGGGGGCCUGGUGGGAAGAGGGGUGCAAGUUCUGUGGCAUUGGGUAGCCUUACUAUAUUCACACCACUCAAGUGGGGUGUCAAACGCCACAGGGAAGGGUAUCACGUGUCAAAAAUAAAAACGGGUUGUACAGAAGCAGUUGGGACUUUCAAGAUCAGGUGACCAGGCUUAAAUGGAGGGGGGGAGAUUAUCAGGUGCACCCCAAAGGGCAUGGAAGCCAGUGGCGGGAAUAUGGGCGCCAGGUUCGGGUUUGAGCAGAGCUCGAGAUGCAAGCCACAGCCCCUCGCUCGGACAUGGUGAACGGGUGGUGAUAGCGCGGGCGUUAUCCCUACAAAUGGAGGUCCCACCGAGAUCCGAGAAAGAAGGGACGAGCUGAUGGACACCCGAAAGGUAAGGCUGGCCAGCAUUUUAAAGAAAAAAGGUACGGGUGAAUUGUAUUGAAAUGGGUGCAGCUAGCUCACAGUCAGUUGAUUGGACUGCUGAAGCAGGAAGGCACCGAAGUUAAGAAAGGGCAAGACAGCUGAAGAUUUUAAAUAAAAAAGGAAAUCUUCCCAAUAAAGAAGAGGGAAGAAAAGGAAAUUUCCCGUUAGAAAAGGGAGAAAAAAUUUUAAUCAAGAAAAAAGGAUUUUCCCGGUAAAAAGGGGAAAAAUUUUUUGAUACUAGGCCUAAAGAUUGGGGCCCUGUAGAGGAAGGAUGGAGGAAAGAGAAAAGCCUCUUCCCAGUGGUAAUGGAGAAAGAAAAGACUUUUUCCAAUUGUAGAAUUUUCAGGAUAGCUAAAACUCGGAGCUCUUUCUGCCUGCCAGCACAGAGCGGCAGCAUCUGAAUUACAAAGAAUCGGCAGGUGGGCCUCAUUGCUGCUGGCUGAACAGAGGUUAGAAGUUUUGCUGUCUGUUUGCUUAUUUUGGUUCAAAUGUUUUUUAAUUUUCCCUCAGAAUGGGAAUAAUUCAAUAUUUAGGAUCCCUUCGUGGGAAAUGUUUUUCUGUUUUUCCCUUAUGGCGGGAAUAACUCAUUAUUGUUAGGUAGUCCCUUCAUGGGAGUAGGAAGUUUAAACAGGAGUUUGUGUGUGCGGGGCGCGCACCCAGCGGCGGCAGCGGCGGACAAAGGCAUGCAAGAGAUAGCGCCCGUGGGAGUUGGAGCUGCGAUGGAGCGCGGCCCGGCCAGGCACCAGCACUAGAGCCCAGGCACGGGCACUAGAGCCUGAGCACUGGGCGGAGCCAAAGCUAAGCCGCAGCUUCAGCUCCUGCCAAGUGAGCAGAGGCCCAGGAAGGGACUAGCGCCUAAAAGUUUAACGGGCCUAACUUCUGAUGAAAAAUGGUUUCAGUCAGGACAUUGAAUGCUAAGUCAAUGCUGUGUGAAUAAAGGAUGUUUUGUUCUUUUGAUUGUCUUAAUAAAUGUUUGGAUGAAUGUUUGAUUCUCAUGGUAGAUAAACUAAAGGAACAAGAUUCAUAAUUUUGAACUAUAUAUUAGGUGUCCUCUUGUCUGUUGAUCAUUACUGAAAAUUUGGUUCUGCAAUUUAAGUUGCUUUCUAGAAAUUCUUGGUUUAAUUUUAUAGAAAUAUAACACCUGAAAUGGAUUGGGUUGUUAGCUUAUUAAAUAAUGUUGUUGCUAAGAUAAACCCAUAAAAAAUAAUCUCUUACUGAUAAAGAGGUUACAAAAUUAUUUUUCCAGUAAAUAAAAUACAGGUAAAUUGUUUGGUCCACAUUGUUAAUAAUUGGUUAUUUGCAUUAAUGUGUUACUUGGAAUUUAUAAAAAAAAAGAUACUCUUUUUAAGAUUUUAUAAAAAUACUCCAGAGUAUUGCCUAAAGUUACCUCUUCAAAUCCUAUAGAGAUUGUAUUUAAUGCUUUUAUAAUUGACAUAUGUAAAAAGGACCAUGGAAACAAAAGCUGGUGAUAGAAUUGCUCAAUUAUUAUUGCUUUCAUAUUUUAAAGGCAAAAUGGCGCCUAUAUGUAGAACUGGGGGUUUUGAAAGUACAGGAGAAAAGAUGUUUUGACAGUUAUCAAUGAUAAACAGCCUAAAAUUAAAAACAAAAUUAUAUGGGAUUGAGAUUGAAAGAUAAUUGGAUUCUGGUGCUGGAUAUAUCUAUAAUUUCACAAGAAUCCUGAGAUCCCAAUUGGCCCCUUAAGAAUUCCAUCUCUAACCUACAAGGUAUUGGCACAGCUCAGACGCCAUUACAGAGCAGGCUACUCUUAAAUUGGAAGGAUGAGGAAGGUCAUGCAGGAACUUUUCAACCCUUUGUGCUACCUGACAUUCCAGUGAACUUGUGGGGACGAGAUGUGUUAGAUGGUAUGGGAGCUGUGCUCACUACACAGCCUGUACAAUAGAUGCUGAAAAGUCAAGGCUACUGCCCGGGCAGAGGUUUAGGGAAAAUGUUGCAAAGAGACCCACUCCCUGUGACAGACAAAAGCUGUGUCACUAGAGGUCCUGGGGAUACUAGAGGACUAGAGUCUUUUCCAUAGGGGUCACUGCACAGCAGCCUUCAAUUAUACAACUGAUAAAAAUCACUUGGAAAAGUGAUGACCCUGUAUGGGUAGAACAGUGGCCCCUUACUAAAGAAAAAUUGGCCGGGCGGUGGUGGCGCACGCCUUUAAUCCCAGCACUCGGGAGGCAGAGCCAGGCGGAUCUCUGUGAGUUCGAGGCCAGUCUGGGCUACCGAGUGAGUUCCAGGAGAGGCGCAAAGCUACACAGAGAAACCCUGUCUCGAAAAACCAAAAAAAAAAAAAAAAAAAUUGGAGGCUGCGAACACAUUAGUUAAGGAACAGUUAGAUGCUGGUCAUAUCAUUCCUUCCACUUCGCCUUGGAACUCACCUAUAUUUGUUAUUAAAAAGAAGUUAGGAAAAUGGAGGCUAUUACAGGAUCUUAGAGCUGUAAAUAAAACCAUGAUUCUCAUGGGAGCAACACAACCUGGCUUGCCUGCCGCUGUGGCAAUUCCUAAACAUUGGCAUUUAAUUGUGAUUGACUUCAGUGAUUGUUUCUGGAGUGUUUUGGCAAACAGGUCCUAUUCUAUGGGUACAUUCCCCAGCUUCUCCAGCGAAAACCAUCCAUUUCUCCCAUUCAUGAAUAUUUAUUGCAAGUGCAAGGACUUAUAUGGCCCCGCUCACAUAACCUUUAUGUGGGCCAUAUUAGAGCUCACACUCUUGCCUGGACCUCUAAGUGAAGGUAAUCAGAGGGCUGAUGCCAUUACUCGUAUGGCUGUUACAUUAGUUUGUUCUGCCUUUGAAAAGGCUACUCAGUUGCAUCAACAUUAUCAUCUUAAUGCUGGAUCUCUUCGUCAUCACACAGGCAUAACCUGGGAACAAGCCAUCCAGAUAGUUAAAUCAUGUCCUAUUUGUUGAAUUUUUACCUGUUCCUCAUUUGGGAGUUAAUCCCCGAGGACUUUUACCUAAUCAUGUGUGGCAGAUGGACGUCACACACGUGCCUUCCUUUGGAAAAUUACAAUACGUCCAUGUGUCUAUUGAUACAUAUUCUUCUCUAAUUUUUGCUUCUGCUCAUUCAGGGGAAAAGGUUAAGGAUGUUAAGAAUCAUUGUCUUCAUGCUUUUGCUUACAUGGGAGUGCCAAAAUGCAUAAAGACUGAUAAUGGUCUCGCCUACAGCAGUAUGGGAUUUUCAAAAUUCUGCCAAGACUUUUCUAUUGUUAAUAAGACUGGUAUUCCUUAUAAUCCUCAAGGACGGGCUAUAGUAGAAUGCUGCCAUCUUACCUUAAAAACAUAUAUUUCUAAAGUAAAAAGGGGGGAGCUAGGGGCUCAUCUCUCCUCUCCACAUUCUAUUCUUUCCCUUGUUUUAUAUAUUUUAAAUUUUUUAUCGAUGGAUUCUGCUGGAGUAUCCGCCACAGAUAAGCACUGGAGGGCUCCUGUUGCAAAUCAUCCUCUGGUACGAUGGAAGGAUCUUUCUACUGGCACUUGAAGGGGACCCGAUCCGGUGUUGGUGUGGGCCCGGGGAUCUGUUUGUGUCUUUCCGCAGGACAAUGAAGUUCCUCUUUGGGUCUCUGAGCGUUGUGUGCGCCCUGUGGCUGCUGCUGAAUCCCGACAUGGCAGAGACCUAUUGGGCCUUCAUAAAAAACUCUCCCCUUCUGAUGCCAAUGGGGAUUGAGAGCCCAAUACGGCCAGCCUUGGCAAGCAUUAACAUAAGCCUAGGAACUGUAGCCAUAUGGUUGGAUUCUUCAGAAGACCUGCCAGCCUAAGUAGUGCUGGGAUCAAGAAAAAUGGGCCUUGGUGGUUCGUGUUCCUGGAGCUGCGUCCAUGCCAGUGGACCAUGGCAGUUAGACACAGAUGAUGCUCACACGUUCCAGAAGAGAAUCUGACAUCGCUGUUGCCGUUGUUGCUGUUAUAGCAGUGGUGGCCACUGCUGCUAUUGCUUCUGGGAUGGCUAUUUCAUAAUUGGGUUCCACAGCUAGGACAAUGGAGACCCUGGCAGCAAAAGUAGCUACCACAGUUAGUUAAUCUUUAUUUUAUUGGGCAUGAUAAAUUUAAUUCUGCAUUUAUACAUUUAAAUUGGCUUUGAAAGUUGUAAAAAUUAUUUAAACUCAAGUUCUAUUUGCUUAUGGGAUACCACCUUACAAGGACUCCAAUUUGCAGUAAAGCUCGUUUAAGAAGGGAAUGGCUCAGUUGCCUUUAGCCUCCUGGCUAUUGGUGGGUUAGGACUUCUGUUGGUCUUUUCUGUGUCGCACAGAUUGCAAGCCCAGUGCCACUUUGAGAUCUUUGGCAGCAGUCACUCUACAGCUCACGUGGUUGAGUCUGUAUGAUAAUGAGUAUUCAGAGACGGGUAAUGCUUGGGGGGCGGUCAUCAACCUAAGACAGAGCACUUGUGUGGCCUGGGCAGGUGUCUCUAUGACGGGUAAGGUGACCUGCUGACGUCCCAUGCAACCUAAGUCAGAAGCUCAUUUUUAGUAAAAAGGGGGGACCUGUGGGCCCUGGCCCCCCACUGUGAGUGGCAGCCGCCUUGCUUGCCGACCUUGACCAGAUGUCCUCCCUAUUCAGAUUCCCUGCAGGUUUCCUUCUCACCUAACAUUCUACCGGAGGUUCUUUGUUCCUGUAUCCUGCAUUUGGUGUAAACAGCUUAGAUGCAAAAAUGUAGAACAUUCAGUAGCAAACUUCUGCCCUCCGGGGAUCCGCCAUUGUGCUGUAAGCCUGUAUUUAAGGUUUCCUCCCUCUUUCAAUAAACGGCAUUCGGCUGGCACUCGGCAUUCAGCCGUGGCGAAUGACUCGCUGUCUCUUGUCCCUUAUUUUUUAAUCCACAGCCCCUCGCUCGGACAUGGUGAACG